Molecule: unclassified non-coding RNA, 2471 nt
Filed under: Hevea brasiliensis (rubber tree)
Lineage: Eukaryota; Viridiplantae; Streptophyta; Magnoliopsida; Malpighiales; Euphorbiaceae
Source: RNAcentral
AAGAUCAUAUCAUGGAGAUCCCAGCAAAGCAAAGAAUGGAGCGGCAGGAAACUUUGGCCCGAAAGCAUACUGAGGAGUACAAGGCUGCAUGUCACGAGACAGGAGUUCUAGCUCCGUAUGGCGCCUAGGUCUUCCUUAGCCAGGGCCCCUAGGCUAGCCUUUACCCCUAUCUGACAAGCUCGUAUAAGCCCAAAUAUUAAGCAUCUUUGAGGUUUCUCGCACGUAUCUAACCGUUACAUUUUCUCCCACCCAAUCCCGCAAACGCCCUCGUUUGCUUGCAUUCACGUCGCUUCCCCGCACAACUUGUCACACUCCCUCGCACAUAAGAGCCCACACACCAUUUGUCGGGCUCGCCCAACGCAAACACUUAAGCAACAUGUUGGCCACCAAUUUGCCAAAAUACUCGCCCACUUCCGCAUGUAGACAUCCUCCAAAAUGCCUUGCCAAGAUUCAUCAUAUUACUCGCCAGACACAUACAAGCUGCAUGACAGGCCGCACUUGUCUCUCGGAUCGACCCCUUUCUUGUCUGAUGUGGGAUUGAGAAACUCUUGUCUACCUCUGUCCCAUUGAGGCCUAUGGGGGCUGAUUCCCCCACCCUGCCACCCACCACACCAAUUAAAACACAACUCUACACCUGUCUCGCCUCAAAUUGUCAUCAAUAUCAGUAGCAGAGAUUGAGUGACUGCAAAAAUCAUGAUCCUCAGCUACAAAAUAUGACUUUCAAGGGUGAAUAAUCCAACUAUCUGGGAAAAUAAUGAGGCAAUCUCACUUGGGAAGAGAAGAUAACAAAUUUAGGAACAAAUAUCCAAGGAUGACCACAUGAGAAAGAAAAACCUGUAGGAAAUAAGUACCCAGAUGAAAUUUAUUGAUGAAAACUAUUGGCACAGAGCCUUUCAUGUGAAACUGGAGAACCUUGAAAUGAUCUAUGGUAUGGUACUGGUUGGUGUGAGAAGAAAAGUUUAGAAAUUAAGAUGUAUAGUGUUGCACUUUGGGAAAGAACUUAGUAGCAAGAUAACUUGAAUAUAUAGUGGCAUUUGUGUAAAUGUUGAAAAUAUUUGGGAAACUCAUUUUGCUACAUGAAUAAUCAUGUUAAAACAUUUAUAAUAUUCUCAUAUUUGCCCCAGUUUCCAUAACAACAGUGCUUGUGGCAGCAGCAUAAAAUUUACACUAUGUUUGGGAACUUUGCUAGAGAGGAAAGAAAAUAAAGGAGGGAAAAUAAGGAAGGAAAAUAAAAAUAAUGUAAAAGUUAUUUUCCUUUCCUUGUUUGGAUUUUAGGGAGGAAAAUAAGGAGGGAAAAUAGCUUUUUAAAUAGUAAAAUAUCCACUUUGUCCUUUUUAUUUGAAAUUAAAAUAAAUAAUUAUAGGGAUAAAAAAGUAAUUUUAUGAUUUUUCCACCCACUUUCUCUCCAAAAUGGAGAGAAAAUGAAUAGUAAAUGCAUUUGUUAUUUUCCACCUUUAUUUUCCACUCUUUUCAAUUUUCCCUCAUUCCCAAACAAGAGAAGAGAGAAAAUAUGUUUAUUUUCCUUCAUAAUUUUCCUUCCUCCCUUAUUUUCCUCCAAUCCAAACAUAGCCUUAGAUUCUUAAAAAUUAUUUUGGAUAUUGAACUGUGGGAAAAGUUUUGAAAUCCGUAGGAAUUUAUGGUUUGAAAGGAAUAGGGAUUUAGUGUUGUUUAAAGGUGAAAAUGAGAGAUUCUGGGGCCUAGUUGGGAUGUAUCGUAGCUUAAAGUGCGAAUGAGAAAUUCUGAGAAGUGAGACCUGGUUGGGAUAUGCUGUGGCUUAAAAGUGCAAAUGAGAAAUUCUGAAGCCUACUUGCUGUUUGAAGAAAUACUGAUGACACACUAUUAGAAUCUCAAAACUGAUGUUUUAAUCCUUGCAAGUUAUGAUGACCAACUGUAAAUAUUUGCAGUAAAUAAUACUUGCCUACUGUUGGAUUCUCCUUGACCUGUUAGAAUUUGUAUUACAAUUUAAAAACUAGCUAACGACAACUGUAGACUCAAAUUAACAUAUGAAAAAUACUUGACAGCAUAAAAAAUGAAAGUAAUAACUAGAGACAAAAGUGUUUGUUACCAUUGAUGCUUUCUCUUGGCCAGAAUUCCUUUGCUUCUCUCUUUUAUUUAACCAAGCAAUGGAUGUGCUACCAAGCUACCCUGAUUGAGCUUCAAUCCCAUUCUAAUGAAUCUAAUCUCCAAAGAGCCUUGACAGAUUUUGAAGGUCCUUACACAAAGUUUUGAAGUUCCUUUUUUGGAAUAUGAGAACUAAAGAUUUUUGGUUGAGCUAGUUUUCUGUCCUUGAUUAUAUUCCAGUCAUUUGGUAAUCAUUAGUCAAACAGUUGAUUAUGGUAAAUUUUAUUAUAUUGACUGUUAAGAUGAUGUGUUACUCUCUUGGGUGUAUGCGCUUGCAUCUUUGCAUGUGUGCUGUUUGAUGGUUUGAAAUCUUUUUUUCUUUUUUUAGAAUGACUUCAAUUUUGAGAAGA